CAAUAGCGUAUAUUAAAGUUGUUGCGGUUAAAAAGCUCGUAGUUGGAUUUCUGCCGAGGACGACCGGUCCGCCCUCCGGGUGAGUAUCUGGUUUGGCCUGGGCAUCUUCUUGGAGAACGUAGCUGCACUUGACUGUGUGGUGCGGUGUCCAGGACUUUUACUUUGAGGAAAUUAGAGUGUUUCAAGCAGGCACACGCCUUGAAUACAUUAGCAUGGAAUAAUAAGAUAGGACCUCGGUUCUAUUUUGUUGGUUUCUAGAGCUGAGGUAAUGAUUAAGAGGGACAGUUGGGGGCAUUUGUAUUUCGGCGCUAGAGGUGAAAUUCUUAGAUUGCCGAAAGACAAACUGCUGCGAAAGCGUCUGCCAAGGAUGUUUUCAUUGA
This 380-nucleotide ribosomal RNA is filed under the name uncultured eukaryote. RNAcentral describes it as "partial 18S ribosomal RNA". It matches the Rfam family "Eukaryotic small subunit ribosomal RNA", at positions 592 to 976 of the family's 1831-position model. The record is from RNAcentral.